AGUUCUGAAAAGGACUGACCGAAGACAGUUGGGGACAUAAGUCAUAAGCAUCCAACCGAGGACAAACAUUUUAAACAAUGAUUGAACUCUCUAUGUCUUUUGGUCGUGGGGAUUUUUAUUUGUAAAA
Molecule: regulatory RNA element, 127 nt
Organism: Lactococcus garvieae Lg2
Lineage: Bacteria; Bacillati; Bacillota; Bacilli; Lactobacillales; Streptococcaceae
Rfam family: Ribosomal protein L10 leader
About the family: This family is a putative r-protein leader autoregulatory structure found in B. subtilis and other low-GC Gram-positive bacteria. It is located in the 5' untranslated regions of mRNAs encoding ribosomal proteins L10 and L12 (rplJ-rplL).
Source: Rfam